RNAcentral lists this ribosomal RNA (492 nucleotides) under uncultured bacterium. RNAcentral's name for it is "partial 16S ribosomal RNA". It matches the Rfam family "Bacterial small subunit ribosomal RNA", at positions 29 to 507 of the family's 1533-position model. The record is from RNAcentral.
AGUGAACGCUGGCGGUAGGCCUAACACAUGCAAGUCGAACGGCAGCACAGUAAGAGCUUGCUCUUACGGGUGGCGAGUGGCGGACGGGUGAGGAAUACAUCGGAAUCUACUUUUUCGUGGGGGAUAACGUAGGGAAACUUACGCUAAUACCGCAUACGACCUACGGGUGAAAGCAGGGGAUCUCCGGACCUUGCGCGAUUGAAUGAGCCGAUGUCGGAUUAGCUAGUUGGCGGGGUAAAGGCCCACCAAGGCGACGAUCCGUAGCUGGUCUGAGAGGAUGAUCCGCCACACUGGAACUGAGACACGGUCCAGACUCCUACGGGAGGCAGCAGUGGGGAAUAUUGGACAAAGGGCGCAAGCCUGAUCCAGCCAUACCGCGUGGGUGAAGAAGGCCUUCGGGCCGUAAAGCCCUUUUGUUGGGGAAGAAAAGCAGCAGGUUAAAACCCCGCUGUUCUGACGGUACCCAAAGAAUAAGCACCGGCUAACUUCGUG